RNAcentral lists this ribosomal RNA (386 nucleotides) under uncultured bacterium. RNAcentral describes it as "bacterial SSU rRNA". It matches the Rfam family "Bacterial small subunit ribosomal RNA", at positions 29 to 416 of the family's 1533-position model. The record is from RNAcentral.
AUUGAACGCUGGCGGCAUGCUUUACACAUGCAAGUCGAACGGUAACAGGCCUUCGGGUGCUGACGAGUGGCGAACGGGUGAGUAAUGCAUCGGAACGUGCCCCAAUCGUGGGGGAUAACGUAGCGAAAGUUACGCUAAUACCGCAUAAGCCCUGAGGGGGAAAGGUGGGGGACCGCAAGGCCUCACGCGAAUGGAGCGGCCGAUGUCAGAUUAGCUAGUUGGUGGGGUAAAGGCCCACCAAGGCGACGAUCUGUAGCGGGUCUGAGAGGAUGAUCCGCCACACUGGGACUGAGACACGGCCCAGACUCCUACGGGAGGCAGCAGUGGGGAAUUUUGGACAAUGGGCGCAAGCCUGAUCCAGCCAUGCCGCGUGCGGGACGAAGGCC